Molecule: long non-coding RNA, 2807 nt
Organism: Carassius gibelio (silver crucian carp)
Lineage: Eukaryota; Metazoa; Chordata; Actinopteri; Cypriniformes; Cyprinidae
Exons: 3
Source: RefSeq, a predicted model, not a curated record
GGGGUAGCUGCAGCCUGGAGCAAUGGGUGCACCGAAAAGUUGGGGCGUGGCAAAAGGUUUCUCAUUGGUGGAAGGAGUUUUACUUCUGGCCAAUCAGCAGCUAAAUAUACAUUUACGUAAUUUCCUUAGACAAGGUGGCGGCGAUAAGACGUGAGGUAAUUAUUCAUUGUUUAUACGUGUAUCUAUACUUUAUAUACCACAAAUAUGUAUAUUCAGAUAAGUUUGUUACAAUACGAUGAUAUAUUUUUCCUUUGCGUUACAUCUUGCAGCGUUAGUAAUUAGGGCCCGAGCACUGCAGUGCGAGGACCCUAUUGGAAUUGCUCCGUUUAUUAGUUUAUUGUUGUUGACAGACAUAUGUACCAUACCUGUCAAGUUUUGGAUUUGAAAAUAAGGGAAAUUUUCCAGCGCCCAUUGCGAUCAGUCCCACCACCCCAACAAAGCUCCAGUAUCCCUUACAUUUUAAGACAGGUGUUAUAGCCCAAAUUAAAACACAAAAGGGUAUAUAUGAAGAGCAUUUAUUUAAAGGCUUAUUUGCAUAUUUUCUGUUAAUUUAACAUUGCUUGUCUUUACAUUUACAUUUUAUUUUAAUUCCACACAUUCUUUUCAUUUCAUAUUGCUUUUCUUUAACCGUUUUUCUUUUCAUUUCACAUAACUUUUCUUUUACUCUUUUAGUGAGUUGUUGUACCAAUUUGUUGCAGACUUUGCAUUCUUUAAAAAAGUAAAUUCGCUGUCCCAUUUAUCGCGGUAUUUACACAUGGGUUUUGGUUUUUUGGCAGGUGUGCCUUCACUCUCUAUUGUAGCAUCCAUCAUCCUUCUCUGUUUUUUCUUUUGUUGUUGUUGUUUUUCCCACGUUAUAACUCAUGUCAUCUGACCUCACACACCCCUCGCGACAGGCUACUACAGGUGGGAGUUAUCGCGAGACUAGUGACAGAGCUCAGAUUGGGAAUGUUUUUAUUAUUAUUAUUUUAUUAAUAACGCAGGUAAAAAAAAAAAUAAUAAUAAUAAAAAUACGGGAGACUUACGGGAAAAUACUAAUACGGGAGGACGGCGGGAAAGAAGGGUAAAAUACGUGACUUUCCCGGCCAAAACGGGAUACUUGACAGGUAUGAUAUGUACAGUGAGACAAAACGAUGACCGCACUGACGGCGAAUCCUUCAGAGAUGAUUGUUUAUAUCUGCGUCCUUUUUGUACAAGAGAGUACAGAAUACAUCGUGUAAGUAUAAUAAUUAUUACCACCUCUAUUGCAACUGUAUGAAGAUCAAUUCACAAUCUGGAGACGAUUAGACAAAAAAAAAAAAAAACUCUAACUUGGAGUUUGUUUCUACCUUUCUGCCAGGUCUCCAACUAAUGCAGAGUAUAUUCAAGCUGCCAACACACUGGUUGUGAAGAACCCUUUCCAGAGAAAUAUAGAAAGAGAUGAUUGUGAAACUUGUGUUGGGGAGGAUUCAGUGUCUGUUGAGACACAUGUGAAUGUGUUAUAAAGUGAGUAUCAGAAAACACAUCCAGACACAUGGACUGUCAAAGACCACACGACAGGAACAUUCUCCCGGAGACGCUGAGAAAGCACAGAAGGAAUGUCUGUGGAGGAUGUACUCAAAAAAUACACAUACUUAAGGACACCUGCUGGAGGGACCCGGCUACACCUUUCCUACCAUACACCUGAUGGAUACUGACUGUAAAAUGGCAAUCGUAGUUCGGGGGAUCAGUGUGGUGACAGAAGAUGGAACAUUCUGCUGUAUUCUGCUUUCAACAUUGCAUAUCCACUACACCUGAGAAAGACACUGACUUUCCUUCAGAGGGACAUUGUCAACAUUAGAAGACGAGACAAGCUCUGUCAGUAACUUUACUUGUAUUUCUUGUAUUAGAUCCUCAUGCCUUGACUGUACCAUUGCCCAAAGUGCACUCGAAGGACAUUCACUCUUUUGAAGUUAAUCCAACAUGUUGAAGUGGUACAUGCACAUUAACCAAAUAGCUUGCUCUAUAGUUUUUCUAUUCUAUCUGUUUUCUUUUUAUUUAUUAUAUUAUUUAAAAGCCCUUGCUAUGUGUACUGUGUUAAGCUAACUGAGACUUGUUACUGCUCUUAUAUAUCAUUGCUCUUUUUGUUGUUUUUGAUUGCUUCAACUCUGUCCUCAUUUGUAAGUCGAUUUGAAUAAAAGCGUCUGCUAAAUGAAUAAAUGUAAAUGUAAAUAUUAGUAUAACCUGUGGUAUAGAUGAGUGCCAGUCAACUUUUUUAUAUUCCAUUCUUUUAGAAACCAUUCACAGGAAGCAUAUGUACUUUUGGUCCUGAAGAGUCAGUAGUACAGUUGUAUUAUAAUAUAAUGGAGAAGGGUCUGGCUGCAGACGUGCACUCUCAGACACUUGUGCUUCGUUUUUUAUUGGAUAUUUUAUUCUACUUAUUGGUUAAUUAUUUUUUGAAUCUCUCAACAUUUGUUUUUCUCUUGUGUAGGUAUGGUUUACUGGAAGUCUGUCAGUCCAGAUGUGAGGAAGACACACAGAGUGGAGCUGGAGCUCAGCAGAUGUGUGAUGCUGUAGAUACUGUGGUCUUCACAGCUUUCUAUUCAGACAAAGAAAACAGAAGUUUGCUGGAUUCUGUUCUAUGGACUGCUACUACAGAAUGAAUGAAUGAAUUAAAGAAUGAGUGGUUUAUCUAUCUAUCAUCUAUCUAUCUAUCUAUCUAUCUAUCUUUAUCUAUCUAUCAUUUUACUUGAAUUGGUGACUGAAAUUGAAAGCUAAAUAAAUGUUUUAGUGGAUAAAGCUGUGUCUGUUUGCUUAAUUGGUUAAUGUCACUUAAAACAAGGUUACUAAAC